GACGAACGCUGGCGGCGUGCCUAAUACAUGCAAGUAGAACGCACAGUUUAUAGCGUUUCUUGCUACACUAUAGACUGGGAGUUGGGAACGUGUGAUUAACGCGUAGGUAACCUGCCUGGGAGCGGCUGAUAACUAUGGUAGAUGAUAGCUAAUACCGCAGAAUAUUGAUUAUUGCAGGAUAAUUGAUUUAAAGAUACUAUAUCAUCACUGCUAGAUGUAGCUGCGUUGUAUUAGCUAGUAUGUGAGGUAAAGGCUCACCUAGGCGACGGUACAUAGCCGACCUGAGAGGGUGAACGGCCACCAUUGGAAUGAGACACGGCCCAGAAUUCUACGGGAGGCAGCAGUAGGGGAACUUCGGAAAUGGACGGAAGUCUGAACGCGCCACGCCGGGGGAGUGAAGAAGGUUUUCGGAUCGUAAAGCUAUGUUGUACGAGAAGAAAGGGUGUGAGAGUGGAACGUUCACCCUGUGACGGUAUCUUAACAGAAAGGGACGGCUAACUACGUG
RNAcentral lists this ribosomal RNA (505 nucleotides) under uncultured bacterium. RNAcentral describes it as "partial 16S ribosomal RNA". It matches the Rfam family "Bacterial small subunit ribosomal RNA", at positions 28 to 507 of the family's 1533-position model. The record is from RNAcentral.